This 378-nucleotide ribosomal RNA is filed under the name uncultured bacterium. RNAcentral describes it as "bacterial SSU rRNA". It matches the Rfam family "Bacterial small subunit ribosomal RNA", at positions 521 to 895 of the family's 1533-position model. The record is from RNAcentral.
UAAAACGUAGGAGACGAACGUUAUCCGGAGUUACUGGGCGUAAAGGGCGUGUAGGCGGUAUGUUAAGUCUGGCGUGAAAGCUCUCGGCUAAACCGGGAGAGGUCGUUGGAUACUGGCACACUUGAGGAUGGUAGAGGCGUGUGGAAUUCCGGGUGUAGUGGUGAAAUGCGUAGAGAUCCGGAGGAACACCAGUGGCGAAGGCGACACGCUGGGCCAUACCUGACGCUAAAGCGCGACAGCAUGGGGAGCAAACGGGAUUAGAAACCCCGGUAGUCCAUGCCGUAAACGAUGCCAGCUAGAUGUUCAGAGGGCGCAAGCCGUCGGGGUAUCGAAGCAAACGCGAUAAGCUGGCCGCCUGGGGAGUACGGUCGCAAGGCU